RNAcentral lists this ribosomal RNA (253 nucleotides) under uncultured bacterium. RNAcentral describes it as "partial 16S ribosomal RNA". It matches the Rfam family "Bacterial small subunit ribosomal RNA", at positions 524 to 776 of the family's 1533-position model. The record is from RNAcentral.
UACGUAGGGGGCUAGCGUUGUCCGGAAUCAUUGGGCGUAAAGAGCGCGUAGGCGGCCAGAUAAGUCCGGUGUGAAAGUCAAAGGCUCAACCUUUGAAUGCCGCUGGAAACUGUCUGGCUAGAGUCCGGAAGGGGCGAGUGGAAUUCCUGGUGUAGCGGUGAAAUGCGCAGAUAUCAGGAGGAACACCAAUGGCGAAGGCAGCUCGCUGGAACGGUACUGACGCUGUGGCGCGAAAGCGUGGGGAGCGAACAGG